GCCGAGUUAAGUAAUAAGAGCUUGUAACCCAAGUGGGGGCAUGAAGGUGAUGGAACAACUUUGUGGUUCUCGGGUUGGAGUUAUAUUGGAAGGAUAACGAGUUAUUGCCACCACCCUCUAAAGAAUAACCUGGACUGCCCCACUUCCUUGGAAUAUCACCUUU
Molecule: non-coding RNA, 163 nt
Filed under: Vigna radiata var. radiata (mung bean)
Lineage: Eukaryota; Viridiplantae; Streptophyta; Magnoliopsida; Fabales; Fabaceae
Source: RNAcentral